Molecule: long non-coding RNA, 5125 nt
Filed under: Panax ginseng (ginseng)
Lineage: Eukaryota; Viridiplantae; Streptophyta; Magnoliopsida; Apiales; Araliaceae
Description: long non-coding RNA (PGIN_LNC011168)
Source: RNAcentral
UCGAAUUGUUGUAAUAAACGAUGAAGAGCCAUCGAAGCGCCAAAGUCAAAACUCGGAACCCAUUACUCGGUUUUGAUAGUUCCGGCGGUAAAUUAACGAUUUCUCCGAUGAUGGCUCUGGCACUGCCGCACAUGGCAAGCGGCUUAAGGUAAUUUUGUUUUCUCUCUCUAAAUUUAGCAUUUAAUAGAUAAUAUGUUGCUCCCCUAAAACGUAAAUGGAUUAAUUAAAUUCUUGGUUUUUGUGAUCAAAAUUAAUUCUUUCAUUUCUCGUCCUUUUUAUUAUAAGAAGGUUAACGAAUUAUAACUCCAGAGCCGUAUCUCAUGAGAUUGCUAGAACCAUGAUAUUCUUUCUAAUUCAUAUAUAAAACUAAUUUGGGUUCGGCUACUUUAUAAUUAUUUGAUUGCAUCUUACCGGCCUAUCUCUUAAUUCAUUUUAAUAGCCCACAUAUUUGUAUUAAGAGGUCUCUGAAUAGUUUAGAUUCAUAUUUAUAUUUGUAUCUUAAUGAUUUGGAGGCAUUUUAUCCCUAUUUCAAACAUUAAUAUACAUUAAGAGAUGGGAUGUUAAGAUGCAUUAAGAUACAAUCAAACAACACAAGUUAAUUUUUACUAAUAUUCUUAUGGGAAAUGGAUAUUUAUAGGAUUACGAAUUUAUUAGAGCAUAGUAUAAUAGUAUUGAUCACAUGAUACUACAUUAAUUGUCCUGACAAUGUGGAAUCAAUUUGCAAUUUAGUUUUCUAAAGAUAUUUUUCAAAUAAUAUCCCCUGCAUUUGCACAUAUUCCCUCUAGUACAAUGUAUACCAUUAAUUGAGGAAAAAUGUAACACUCGUUGCCACUUAUAGAAAGGAGUCAAUGCCUUAGAUUAAAAACUAGAACAAAAGCUAUUUUAAACUUCAUUACUUCCAGUGUCAACUCUGGGAUUCUGAAUAACCAAAACAGCCAUAGAAUUAAGGAACACCUUAUCCUGAACUCCUGUGUUACAAAUGUAGUUAAUUUUUUUAGUACAAAACAAUUACAACUUGCUUACACUAGGCUGUAUAGUGGAAAUUUAUUCGAAAGAUGCCCUUUUAGGUUCUAUCAGUAACAUGAUAUGAGAGGUAUUCCAAAGGAACUAUAGUGCCGUAGCCGUAGUUGCACAAAAAAUCAUGAACUAAUGGGCAUUUAAGUCUUUAACAACAAGUUUUACUCUAUUCAGCUGGAUCACAAAGGAAUUGGGACUGGAGCAAGCAGUUCACAUGCAGUUACUAUAGUAGAACAGAAGGCCUAUCCCUUUUGUAGCAAGUUCACGCCUAGCAACUUAUAUGUAAUUGAUCUCAAUGACCUAACAUAGUCCGUUGUUAGUGUAAUUGUGACAUCCUUCCACUUGUUGGUGUGACUAUGGCAUCGAUUGGUGAGAAUAUCUAUGUGUUAAUCUGCCACAGCAUUUACACGAUAUCGUUAUGAUCAAUUAAGUCUUGAGCUAGAGUAGUCUUACAUCUUCGCUCGCUGUUGAAAGAAGAAAAAGGCGACGAAGAGAUAGAAUUAAAAAAUUAUCCAUACGGGCUUAUGAUUUUGUUGGUCAAGUUUGAUUGAAAUUUCCAGUACCUGGGAGAAUUCGAGGGUAGAGGUGGCCCUGGGUAUCUAUGGUCCAAAGGAAAAUCUGAAUUGUGUUACGUGUAUGGAUUCUCUGGUUUGGAGCUUGAUGAUAUAAUCACUUUGAUCAGAUUAAUGAAAAGUGGGUCCAAGUGGAAACUAAUGGAGUAAAUCCGAAGGCUUAAAGUGUGUUUUCAGCAGUUGGGAUUGGAUAAUACAUAUUUCUAUAUGACGGGGAAGUGGACCCUAGUGAUUCAGGCCACAUAGAUGCCGGGAAAUUUUUGAGCUAGCUAUUUGCGUUGGACGUAGAAGCAUUGAUGUGGAAGCGGUUGAAGGAUGGGUCAGAUUCUGGUGAUCAUCAGGUUCUUGGAUGGUGUGCGUCCAUAGCUGGUAAACGAGAUAGCUAAGACUUUCUGAAUAAAUCUGUCUAGUCUUAGGCACUGUAUAUUAUUUGGAUGGAAAAAAUCUUGUUGAACAUAUCAACAUGUAGCAGUUUAUAACAGUCCUAGUCUUUUUGCGUGACUGGAGGAAGUUACUAGAUUAAGUAAUCAAUGGAUGCUUCCUCCAGUAGCACAAUUUAUGGAGACUUCAUUCCCAUCUUUCUAUCAAACAAAAGUCAUAAGACUUUCUUUUAUAUUCCACCAAAUUAAAGGUAAUUGCUUUUUGUGGCAUUUUGAACUGUGGAACAACAUGAAGCCAAUUUUUCAAUGAAAAUCCCAGAAUGAUAUUUUUAGAUAUAUGCCCAUGGUUUAUAUUAAAAGAGAAACAAACUAUAUAUCUAUGGUAACUUGCAAAAUUUGAAAAUGAUCUAGAUAAGAGUAUGAAUAAGCUUACACAUUGUGUUCGACCUGAUGAAGCUUAUACAGUUAAAGAUCAAGUGAUCAACAAAUGUUUCAUGGUCUAGGAAAUGAGAUUGUAGAUGUAAAAUCUUAGAGUGUAAUGGGUGCUUUAUUAUUUAUCUGUUUGAGGCUAGUUUUAGCCAUCUGAACUAUACCAAAUUGCUGUGUUACUCAGACUUAUCAUUUUUGGUGGAGUACCUGUGUCGACACGACACUGGUACGAGUGCUGGAUUCGUACGGGAUCCGGCUAUAGAAAUCCAGAUACGGCUGUUUUGGAAGAAGAAGAAGAGACGCGAGAGGAAGAAGAAGAAGAGUCGCGCGAGAGGAGGAAGAAGAAGAGAGUAAGAGAUGAGUCAGAUCUGAGAUGAGGGAGAAGAAGAGUCGCGCACGAGAGGAGAAAGAAGAAGAGAGUAAGAGAAAUAUCCUUGAAAAAUUACAGUUAGGUACCUUAUAGUUUUUUAAUUUAGUCUUCCAGGUUUUAUGAAAGUUUAAAAUAGCCCUUGGAAAGUUACAUAUCAGUCCAUGUAGUUUUAUUUUUUUCCAUUUCAGCCCCUGAAGUUUCAGUUCUGCCCCUGUUUCUUUAUAUUUUUGCACUUCAGUCUCUAGGGAAAAAAACUUGAUGAUACAAUUAAUAACAUUAUUAUUAAAAAAUCAUAACAUACUGUAUCCAUAUCCGCGUAUUCUCUAUUUUUUAACUUCACGUGUCUGACACCUAGAUUCGUACUUGCACCCGACACUCGUACCCGAGUCCGAGUAACACAGCCAAAUUGUUGUUAAAAACUUUCUCCGAAUCAUAUACCUCUUUUACCUAAGCGCUAGAACCUGCACCUAGGUUUGACAGUAUGGACCUUUUUUUUGGGUAUUAUAAAUUUUAGAUUUAGAAAGCGCUAGUUUCUACUUCAAAUUUUGAAAAAUUAAGUAAGUUGAUUGCAUAAGGUCUGCAUAAUGGUAUUGAUUUAUAUUACUGUUCUUAUGUUAAGAUGAAGCUCUGCUAUCUAGUUUGUGAUCAUUGAUGUUGUGCAACUGAAUAAAUUAGUUGUAAUAUUUUAAUCCAACUAUGGAUGAAUGUGCAUACAUAAAAUGCAAUUGUUAAAAGCUAAUAAUAAGUGGAGUUGGUGUCAUUUUGGGAAUAUUAUGUGAAAAGUUUGUUUUGUGCAAAAUUAUGCAAACAACAACUUAUAUAAUACUCCUUGAUUCUUUUCCUUGCAUAGAGCCAAGCCAAUAGACAGGGCAACUGCAAAGUAGUAUAGUAGCAAAGUAGGAGAGAAUAUUUAUUUCUUGCUGGAUGCUCCUUCUCUUUUGUCCAGCUUAUGAAUGGAGUUGUCAUUUUUAGAUUUAAUAACCAAAUUACAGAAAAAACAGCCUCUGUAAGACCCAUAUACAAUUAUGAAUCGUAGCAAAGUAUUAGUUAUAUAGUUUCUGCAAUUUCAGCACCUCGUGCAUUUAUUGAGAUGGUGUAGUAAUAGCGCAAGAUUUCUAGGCACUAGUCACCACAUUAUUGAUAGAGAAGCAUUAUUUGUAGACAAUAAUAGUCUACUUAAAAUUCUGACACCGACACGGUGUCUGCAUCAAAUCUUGUCCUUAAAUCAAGCCUAAAACAAUUAAAAAGCUCAAUCUCUUCCUUGAUAACAACAUUUACCAUACAAUAGAAGAAUAUAAAAGUUUUUUCACAGCUCAUACCGAAACGGGAAUCACUGAUCACACCCGAAAUAAUUACAAUCAAAUGAUAAAGAAAAAGGGAAAAAAUAAAAUAAAUAGAAGCCCUUCCAAGAAAUAUUUGUAAAAUAAAAAGAAAAUAAGAACUAUAGAAAGAAAAUCAUUUCUAUAAUGGAAUCAAGAAUUCAUUCAACCUCAAAGAAACACCAAUAACCCCAAAGACACUCCCAAAAGCACUGUCAAUGCCAUCCUCAUACCAUUAAUCCUCACAGACCCAUUGUCGUCACUAGCUGUCUGAUCAGCCGGAUCUUCGUCUUCCGACGAAUCUGGCCCUGGUGCUUCCGCAUCUGCAUCGUCAUCACUCUUCUUACCUUUCUUAGUCUUUGGAGCCUUAGGAGCCGGCGCCGCCGCCUCCGCCUUAAACAACUCCCUAGGCAACAAAACCUUAUCAAUCUUGUAAACAGCUAGUGGCUCCUCAUCCACCAAAGUCCCCUUUAUUGUUGCUGUAAUUACUUUAGUCUUUAACAUCACAGCCUCACCAUCAUUUUGAAUUGUAAAAUCAUAUUUAUUAGCCCCUUCAGUGGCCAAAGUAUUCAUCAACCCAUUAUUUGAUCUUAACAUACCCAUAGAAUUAUACACUGGCACUCCAUGAUAAAGCACCAAUGACAUUUUCCCGUCUGCCGUCAAGUUCUUGUACUUGGGCAUAAAAGCUUUAAGAACUUCAUCACUUGGACAAAAAACUGUCAAUCCACCUUCAACGGUUUGGACAAAAGUGUCCUCGGCUUUUUCAGAAAUUAACAAGUCUGCAAAUGCUUUGCAUCCUUUUGCCCUCAUGAUAUCUGUUACAUUUACUGAUGGUGCAGCUGUGGGAGCUUCAGCUCCAGGGGAAUUUAAUACGUUACUUAUAUGAAUGACAGAUAUGUUGUAUGGUUUUUCUUCAAUGGACUUCACAUAGAAGGCAUUGAGUUCACCAGAACUGUCUUCUGGGGCGAACCCAACCUUUCCGCCUUUUACAUCAGUGAUGUUGACAUAGCCGGAGGUGCCUUCAGCCUUGCCAGUGGC